RNAcentral lists this ribosomal RNA (214 nucleotides) under uncultured bacterium. Its description in RNAcentral is "partial 16S ribosomal RNA". It matches the Rfam family "Bacterial small subunit ribosomal RNA", at positions 119 to 334 of the family's 1533-position model. The record is from RNAcentral.
CGGAACAUGUCCUGGAGUGGGGGAUAGCUCGGCGAAAGCCGGAUUAAUACCGCAUACGCUCUGAGGAGGAAAGCGGGGGAUCCGCAAGGACCUCGCGCUGCGGGAGUGGCCGAUGUCGGAUUAGCUAGUUGGUGAGGUAAAGGCUCACCAAGGCGACGAUCCGUAGCUGGUCUGAGAGGAUGAUCAGCCACACUGGGACUGAGACACGGCCCAG